CUGCUUUCUCUUUUUUUAAUUAAUAGGUAUAGGAAGAUGUGGUGUGAGUGCCAAUGAGACAACUCUCCAUCCAAAUAAAAAUUUAAACAAAAGUAAACCAUUAUAGGUCAAUAUACGGCCUUCAACACGGAGCCUUGGCUCACACCGAACAACAAGCUAUACAGGGCCCCAAAAUUACUAGUGUAAAACCAUUCAAACGGGAAAGCCAACGGUCUAAUCUAUAUUAAAUAAAAAAAAAAAAACGAGAAACGAGAAACACGUAUACAUUACAUAAACAAAUGAC
This 283-nucleotide long non-coding RNA is filed under the name Mytilus galloprovincialis (Mediterranean mussel). Lineage: Eukaryota; Metazoa; Mollusca; Bivalvia; Mytilida; Mytilidae. The record is from RNAcentral.